RNAcentral lists this long non-coding RNA (999 nucleotides) under Salvia miltiorrhiza (redroot sage). Its description in RNAcentral is "long non-coding RNA (SMIL_LNC004672)". The record is from RNAcentral. Lineage: Eukaryota; Viridiplantae; Streptophyta; Magnoliopsida; Lamiales; Lamiaceae.
UAGAUACCUCACUUUCAUCAGGGCCAGGGGUACAAUUUCUGUUCUCUUCCUAUAUGUUGUUUAUAUAUGAUAUUCUGAUGCAAUAGAUUCUGGUAAUUUUUUCUAUCAUGCUUAAACUGGUUUUUCUUCUACUCUAAUCGCCUCUUUUGCUUAACAUGGUUUGGGAUGAAAACUCAUGUUUUGACCACGUCUCAUUCUUAUGGUUGUGAAAAUAUUUCUCCUCGCAUCAAAGCCUGCACCUCCUCAACUUCUUUCUCAUUAGAGUGGUUCUUCUUGUUAGCUAUAUGCACGUUUGUUUGCCCAGAUUUUUUUGUGAAAAAGCUGCCACGGAUAAAAUAUGAAGGCGUUGAAUGUUGAUGUAUGUGUGAAAUAUGUUUGUAGUUUGUUUAACUUUUAUUUGAAGCUUUUUGUUGAUUUGUAAUAUUUGUGUGUACAAGGUGAAGCCAUAAGAUUCUAUUGUUGUUUUCACGUUUCCCAGGUUUUGUCUGCAGCCAUUGGCGCUUGGUCAUUUAUUCUGACCACCACAAAAAACCUUUAUCAAUAUCGCUGGAUAGAGCUCAUGAACUUGUUAUCACUUAUCAAUAUUCGAAAACAACGCAUACCAAUUUUUAAUUUUUUGUCCUUCAACAGCCACAUGUAUGGCCUUGAGAACUUGGUGAUAUCUUUGUCCGUGUAACAGCCGAAGAUGCUCUUGCUUUGUCCGUCGUAACAAAUUCAGUCCCCCCUAAUGAUAAAUCCUGGAUCCGCCCCUGUGUAGUAGGGCAGUGGAUGAAUUAAAAAAAGCUAACGUGAUCGGAAUAUGAAUAUCACAGAGGCACAGCAAGAGAGUCGAUGGAGAUGAAGAAAUAGGUUGAUCGCUUAAAAAGGGCAUGUGGUGCAGGUGUCAGUGUCAACACAGAAUAGGUUUCAUUGAUUCUGCGAUAUCGCAUUCCAUUCAUUCAUUAAAAAAUACUAAUGUCUUCCUUUUUCUUUUCAUUGCAAUUAAGACCCUAGCUAGGA